Molecule: non-coding RNA, 98 nt
Organism: Acanthosepion pharaonis
Lineage: Eukaryota; Metazoa; Mollusca; Cephalopoda; Sepiida; Sepiidae
Source: the annotation of a GenBank genome assembly
GUUGAAGCACCGGUUCCCGUAAGAUCAGCGACGUAAAGUACUGUCGAGUCUGGUUAGUAUCCAGGUGGGUAACCGCUUGGGAAUACCAGGAACUGUAA